Molecule: ribosomal RNA, 253 nt
Filed under: uncultured bacterium
Lineage: Bacteria
Description: partial 16S ribosomal RNA
Rfam family: Bacterial small subunit ribosomal RNA
Source: RNAcentral
GACGUAGGUGGCAAGCGUUGUCCGGAUUUACUGGGCGUAAAGAGCGCGCAGGCGGUCGUUCAAGCCGCGUGUGAAAGCCCCCGGCUCAACUGGGGAGGGUCACGCGAUACUGAUCGACUCGAAGGCAGGAGAGGGAAGUGGAAUUCCCGGUGUAGUGGUGAAAUGCGUAGAUAUCGGGAGGAACACCAGUGGCGAAGGCGACUUCCUGGCCUGUUCUUGACGCUGAGGCGCGAAAGCUAGGGGAGCAAACGGG